GUAAAUGUGAUUUACUAGGUUGGAAACAGUUACAAAGUUCAGGCACAGAGGAUGGACAGUAUAACACAGUUACAAAGCUCAGGCACAGAGGAUGGACAGUAUAACACAGUUAAAGUUAAGGCACAGAGGAUGGACAGUAUAACACAGCUACAAAGCUCAGGCACAGGAUGGACAGUAUAACACAGUUACAAAGUUCAGGCACAGAGGAUGGACAGUAUAACACAGCUACAAAGCUCAGGCACAGGAUGGACAGUAUAACACAGUUACAAAGUUCAGGCACAGAGGAUGGACAGUAUAUCAGGUAUCAAAUUAAAACUCCUCAUUCAAGGCAGGUAGCGAGGCUAGACAGUUCCACGCUCACAGUUCAACGAUAAAAACAAACUGCGAUGUUGGCUGAUGGAAUCAUUAAAAAUGGCAGUCAUGGUGAUGUGGCUAAUCAGUAACCUGAAACAAGCUGAAGCACCAGAUGUGGCAUAUGGAAAUUAGUGUUUGUCUUAGUUAAAUACGUUCCCAUUUGCUAUAGUGUUAUCUGUGACUGAAUGUAGGCUAGUGUAAAACCAUGCUAUAGUGUUAUCUGUGACUGAAUGUAGGCUAGUGUAAAACCAUGCUAUAGUGUUAUCUGUGACAAUGUAGGCUAGUGGAAAACCAUGCUAUAGUGUUAUCUGUGACUGAAUGUAGGCUAGUGGAAAACCAUGCUAUAGUGUUAUCUGUGACUGAAUGUAGGCUAGUGGAAAACCAUGCUAUAGUGUUAUCUGUGACUGAAUGUAGGCUAGUGUAAAACCAUGCUAUAGUGUUAUCUGUGACUGAAUGUAGGCUAGUGGAAAACCAUGCUAUAGUGUUAUCUGUGACUGAAUGUAGGCUAGUGGAAAACCAUGCUAUAGUGUUAUCUGUGACUGAAUGUAGGCUAGUGGAAAACCAUGCUAUAGUGUUAUCUGUGACUGAAUGUAGGCUAGUGUAAAACCAUGCUAUAGUGUUAUCUGUGACUGAAUGUAGGCUAGUGGAAAACCAUGCUAUAGUGUUAUCUGUGACUGAAUGUAGGCUAGUGGAAAACCAUGCUAUAGUGUUAUCUGUGACUGAAUGAAGGCUAGUGGAAAACCAUGAUAAGGACAUGAGUAUUUCCAGGGAGAAAGGCCAAGGACAGGAGUGUCUUCCUAAAAAAAGGUACAGGAGGGCACAACAAUGUAACAUUUAAGAUCACAUCAGUAUCAUCACAACCGAAUGAACGAACCCUUCGAUAAAAAGGCUGAUUAUUUCAUAAAAUAGGUCGACGAAAGUUUAAAAGAAACAUGUAACUGCCAGUCUCUUGUAUAGAGUACAACUGGGUAUAUGUGGUUAGUGUUCCGCAUGAAUUCUAGAUUCUAAUUCUAUGGUUCUGGAUCCCUGGGUUGAGAAUGUCAACCUGUACCAUGUGGUAGUUUGUACCAGGAAGUAUACUGCACGUGGAACACAAGCAAUAGAAGGUGACAAGACAGCAUGUAGGCCAAUCGGCUAGAACUGUAGGUUAAACAUCAAUACGUACCCUGGUUAAAACAUUCAACGGUUGGUCAAAAGUAGUGCACUAUAUAGGGAAUAGGGUGCUAUUUGGGAGACAACCUCCAAGGCACAUUCACUGCCUGCCUGUCAGAGGCUGAUAUCAUACUGGUGGAAAGUACAGUGCAUAGAUACAAUGUAGGGUUGGAGAACUACAGUAACUUUCUAAAACUUGACAGAUUUUUCCAGAAAUUCCAGUAGAAGAUUCCUGGGUUUUCUGCUUAUUCCCUCCCGAUUCCAGGAAUCUUACAACAGGAAUUUCUGGAAAACUGGGGAAUUUUCAGGAAGUUACAACCCUAAUACAAUGUCAUCAUCAUGAUCAUCAUAACAAAUAGGAUAUCACAUCAACAUCCUGAACAUACAUGUAUAAUGGCACUACUAGGCUUUAUCUUAAUACAUGGACUGUCUAGCCUGGUCCCAGAUCUGUUUGUGCGGUCUUGCCAACAUCUUUGGUCAUUGUCGUGCCUUGGCAUGCCAGAUCUGGGAUCAGGCUAGAGGUUAACAUUGGGAUAGCUGCAACACACAAAUGGACCAGCAGUAGAGAGAGAAGAGGAAGGGUCCCUCAUAGGACAUACAGCAACAACUCCUCCUCCAUACACUGACUGCUGCUGCAGAGAGAGACAGACAGAGGGGGUGGGGGGAGAGACACAGACAGAGGGGGUGGGGAGAGAGAGAGAAACAGACA
Molecule: long non-coding RNA, 2215 nt
Organism: Oncorhynchus tshawytscha (Chinook salmon)
Lineage: Eukaryota; Metazoa; Chordata; Actinopteri; Salmoniformes; Salmonidae
Source: Ensembl